Pseudopipra pipra is the source of this 455-nucleotide long non-coding RNA. RefSeq lists it as uncharacterized. NCBI's taxonomy places the organism in Eukaryota, Metazoa, Chordata, Aves, Passeriformes, Pipridae. The record is from RefSeq and is a predicted model, not a curated record. The transcript has 2 exons.
CAAACAGGACAGGCACCUCAUGGCUUUGUAUCCUCUGGCAAGCCCUCCCCUUCCUCCUCCCCUUGAGCUCCCCAGCAUCCAAUGUUAAUUAGCUAAUAUUUGUUUACAUUGUUCCUGACCCUUUGCCUUUUGAUUCCCACUGCAGCACAUCAGCAGGCCACCAGGAGAAGUACAGAGCUCUGCACACCUCCCAGCCCAGUGUGCGGGUCAAGAAACAGUGGGUGACACCAGGAGAAGCCAGCACCUCUCCUCCCACGGGGACUCAUCCCUUUGUCCCCCUGCACGAGGUUCCCCCAUGCUCCUCCCACACUGUCCCCGAACCAGGACCCGCUCUGGCAUGUGCCAGCAGCCACAUCCCCCCCUGCCCGUGGACUGUCGGGCGUGUUUUUCACCCCUCCUCUCAACGCUUCCUAAACAGCUCAUGAAUUUUAUAAACUAAACUCAUUGUAACCAAA